RNAcentral lists this long non-coding RNA (433 nucleotides) under Homo sapiens (human). RNAcentral describes it as "non-protein coding lnc-RGS18-11:1". Lineage: Eukaryota; Metazoa; Chordata; Mammalia; Primates; Hominidae. The record is from RNAcentral.
CCACUGUGGCCCUGGAGGCUGAGGUAAGUGAUUUCUGGACUAUGUACAUGGCCUGGCUCAGCUCUCAGUAUAUAAAUUUGCAGACCAAUGUGAAUAGGUAACAACUGAAAAUGGUAUUGGAACAGUUGGAAGGUUUGCACAGGAAAAUUUGGGAGAUGUUUAUUACAGUCUGCCUGAAAUUGAGACAAAAUUAAACAAAUAAAAUGGAUUUUGGACAUUGGAAAGGGUGAAAGCUGCUACUGAACUUUGUUCUCUUCUAUCAGGAGAAGCAACCAAAAUUAAAGAAGCUCUUGCAGAAAAUCCAGCACUUGUCAACAAAUCUUGUUAUGAAUAGAGUUGGCUGAUCAAGGUGACACUCAGUAACCGUUAAAAACUAGAUGGAUUAAUGAAUGAAGAUAUAUAUAAGAAAUAUGUGAAAUCAACCAAGGAGUAA